Molecule: long non-coding RNA, 72 nt
Organism: Lynx canadensis (Canada lynx)
Lineage: Eukaryota; Metazoa; Chordata; Mammalia; Carnivora; Felidae
Exons: 3
Source: RefSeq, a predicted model, not a curated record
UGAAAUCAAGAGUAAAAAUCUAGCUUCUUCCUUCACCAACAUGCAAGUUCUUUUCCUUUCCUGCCAGCCAGA